UACAGAGGGUGCAAGCGUUAAUCGGAAUUACUGGGCGUAAAGCGUGCGUAGACGGUUACAUAAGUCGGGUGUGAAAGCCCCGGGCUCAACCUGGGAAUUGCAUUCGAGACUGCGUAGCUAGGGUGCGGAAGAGGGAAGCGGAAUUUCAGGUGUAGCGGUGAAAUGCGUAGAUAUCUGAAGGAACACCAGUGGCGAAAGCGGCUUCCUGGUCCAGUACCGACGUUCAGGCACGAAAGCGUGGGGAGCAAACAGG
This 253-nucleotide ribosomal RNA is filed under the name uncultured bacterium. RNAcentral describes it as "partial 16S ribosomal RNA". It matches the Rfam family "Bacterial small subunit ribosomal RNA", at positions 524 to 776 of the family's 1533-position model. The record is from RNAcentral.